CAGCCGCCACGGGAAUACGGAGGGUGCAAGCGUUAUCCGGAUUUAUUGGGUUUAAAGGGUCCGUAGGCGGACUUAUAAGUCAGUGGUGAAAGCCUGUCGCUUAACGAUAGAACUGCCAUUGAUACUGUAAGUCUUGAGUAUAUUUGAGGUAGCUGGAAUAAGUAGUGUAGCGGUGAAAUGCAUAGAUAUUACUUAGAACACCAAUUGCGAAGGCAGGUUACCAAGAUAUAACUGACGCUGAGGGACGAAAGCGUGGGUAGCGAACAGGAUUAGAUACCCCUGUAGUCCCUGUCUCUUAUAA
RNAcentral lists this ribosomal RNA (301 nucleotides) under uncultured bacterium. Its description in RNAcentral is "partial 16S ribosomal RNA". It matches the Rfam family "Bacterial small subunit ribosomal RNA", at positions 509 to 809 of the family's 1533-position model. The record is from RNAcentral.